AUACGUAGGGUGCAAGCGUUAAUCGGAAUUACUGGGCGUAAAGCGUGCGCAGGCGGUUUUGUAAGACAGUGGUGAAAUCCCCGGGCUCAACCUGGGAACUGCCAUUGGGACUGCAAGGCUGGAGUGCGGCAGAGGGGGAUGGAAUUCCGCGUGUAGCAGUGAAAAGCGUAGAUAUGCGGAGGAACACCGAUGGCGAAGGCAAUCCCCUGGGCCUGCACUGACGCUCAUGCACGAAAGCGUGGGGAGCAAACAGGAUUAGAUACCCUGGUAGUCCACGCCCUAAACGAUGUCAACUGGUUGUUGGGGAUUUAUUUUCUCAGUAACGAAGCUAACGCGUGAAGUUGACCGCCUGGGGAGUACGGCCGCAAGGUUAAAACUCAAAUGAAUUGACGGGG
RNAcentral lists this ribosomal RNA (395 nucleotides) under uncultured bacterium. Its description in RNAcentral is "partial 16S ribosomal RNA". It matches the Rfam family "Bacterial small subunit ribosomal RNA", at positions 523 to 918 of the family's 1533-position model. The record is from RNAcentral.